GGCUUUGUAGUGUAAUUAAAACGUCAGGCUGCAAUCCUGAAAAUGUAGACAUACCUGAGCUU
Molecule: transfer RNA, 62 nt
Filed under: Palaemon modestus
Lineage: Eukaryota; Metazoa; Arthropoda; Malacostraca; Decapoda; Palaemonidae
Also listed under: 1 other name
Description: tRNA-Cys
Source: RNAcentral